Molecule: ribosomal RNA, 462 nt
Filed under: uncultured bacterium
Lineage: Bacteria
Description: partial 16S ribosomal RNA
Rfam family: Bacterial small subunit ribosomal RNA
Source: RNAcentral
AAUGAACGUUGGCGGCAUGGAUUAGGCAUGCAAGUCGGGGGAAUCCCAGCAAUGGGGGAACCGGCGUAAGGGGCAGUAAGGCAUGGGUACCUACCUUGGGGUUCGGGAUAGCCAUCAGAGAUGGUGGGUAAUACCGGAUGACGUCGUGAGACCAAAGAUUGAUCGCCCUUAGAGGGGCCCAUGUGAUAUUAGCUAGUUGGUGGGGUAACGGCCCACCAAGGCGAAGAUGUCUAGCGGGUGUGAGAGCACGACCCGCGCCACUCGCACUGAGACACUGGCGAGACACCUACGGGUGGCUGCAGUCGAGGAUCUUCGGCAAUGAGUGCAAGCUUGACCGAGCGAUGCCGCGUGAGCGAUGAAGGCCUUCGGGUUGUAAAGCUCUUUAGUGGGGGAGAAAAGCCGCAAGGUGUGAUCUAUCCCAAAAAUAAGCACGGGCUAAGUUCGUGCCAGCCGCCGCCGUAA